CCUACGGGGGGCAGCAGUGGGGAAUAUUGGACAAUGGGGGGAACCCUGAUCCAGCCAUGCCGCGUGUGUGAAGAAGGCCCUCGGGUUGUAAAGCACUUUCAGUGAGGAAGAACGCCUGGUGGUUAAUACCCAUCAGGAAAGACAUCACACACAGAAGAAGCACCGGCUAACUCCGUGCCAGCAGCCGCGGUAAUACGGAGGGUGCGAGCGUUAAUCGGAAUUACUGGGCGUAAAGCGCGCGUAGGUGGCUUGAUAAGCCGGUUGUGAAAGCCCCGGGCUCAACCUGGGAACGGCAUCCGGAACUGUCAAGCUAGAGUGCAGGAGAGGAAGGUAGAAUUCCCGGUGUAGCGGUGAAAUGCGUAGAGAUCGGGAGGAAUACCAGUGGCGAAGGCGGCCUUCUGGACUGACACUGACACUGAGGUGCGAAAGCGUGGGUAGCAAACAGGAUUAGAUACCCGUGUAGUC
This 465-nucleotide ribosomal RNA is filed under the name Vreelandella stevensii. RNAcentral's name for it is "partial 16S ribosomal RNA". It matches the Rfam family "Bacterial small subunit ribosomal RNA", at positions 338 to 795 of the family's 1533-position model. Lineage: Bacteria; Pseudomonadati; Pseudomonadota; Gammaproteobacteria; Oceanospirillales; Halomonadaceae. The record is from RNAcentral.